UCCCAUGUAGCUCAGUCGGUUAGAGCGCGGUACUUAUAUGGGUGCUCCCCGUAUGCCAUGCCGAUGUCGCGAGUUCGAUCCUCGCCUUGGGAA
Polychytrium aggregatum is the source of this 93-nucleotide non-coding RNA. The record is from the annotation of a RefSeq genome assembly. NCBI's taxonomy places the organism in Eukaryota, Fungi, Chytridiomycota, Chytridiomycetes, Polychytriales.